AAUACUCUGACUUCCGAUGUCUCAAAGUAACCCAGAGUUCUACCCUGACCUGGGAUGUCCUGCUAGUUCCCCGGAGUCAGAAGAUAAUUCUCCAAAUGUGCCAACGGUCAAGUGGAAUGCUUCUUAUUCCCCAUGGGAAUGGGAUGCACUGACAUGGGAUGUCUCAUUAGAACCCCAAGGAACUCAGACUAUGAGAUCAUGACCUGUGCCGAAUUCGGACGCCGAACCAGCUGACCCACUCAGGCGCCCCGGUUGUUAAAGGAGGGAAGUCUCGGAGCAGGUCGGGUACCUUGUGCGGAGCAGGUGAGAGCUGAUUGGCUGACCUAGGCCUUCCUCUUCAGGGAGAGCAGAGCAUAGAAACUUCUCCAGGUUUGACUGCCCCGACGUUGGAAGUCUGCCAAUUUUCCCGUGGGUCUACACUGAUCAAGGAUAUUCCCCUAAAUCUCUAGGUGUUGACCUGGGAUGUGUAAUUCCUCCUCUGUGUGUCCACUGACUUGAGAGGUCUCGUGUUUAUUGGUACCACUCUGGAAGUCCCCUCUCUGCUCUGUUGUAUUCUGAUGCAGCACGUCUGCUUACUUCCCCAAGUCCACCCACCCUGACCUUCAGGGUCUCCACGACUCCUGAGAUGUUAUCUCAGCUCACCUGGACCGCUGACUAGUUCCCCAGAUGUGUCUACAAAAAGCGGUAUUUUAUUGUAAUAUACCAGUUAUGUCUACGCUGACCUGAGCGGUCUUAAUUCCCCAAGUGUGUCAACACUAACCUAGUAUGAUUCCAUAGAUUCCCAGCUGUGUCUGCCUCGACAUUGGAUGUCUCCACUUGAUCUAGUAUCUCAGGCAUGUCCACUCUGACCCGGAACAUCUAACACCUCAGGUGUGGCCACUUUGCCCUGGAGCCUCCCUGGUUCCCCAGUUGUGCCUGCCGUAAUCUGAGAUGUCAAACUCAGACGUGUCUACUCAUACCUGGGAUGUCUAAUCCACAGAUGUGUCCACGCUGAACAGGGAUGGCUUCCUAAAACCCCAGCUGGGUCUAUCCUGACCCGGGAUGUGUCCCAAAUUUUCAAGGAGUGUCUCCUCUGAGCUGGGAUGUCUCAUUCUCCAGAUUUCUCUCUCUGGACCUUGAACAUCUCCGUUCUUCAGGACUGUCCAGCGUAUCCUGAGACGUAUGCCUUUGUCCUUCUCCGUGUCUACUGUGAAUCUGGAGGUCUCGUUCCUCAGGUCAUCCACCUUGACCUGUGAAGUCUCCCGAACUCCACAAGUGUGUUCACAGUGACCUGAGGUAUCUCCCUAUCUCUCCAUGUGUUCUGAUCUGUGAUGUCUCUAAGUCCCCAGGUGUGUCUGCAUUGAUUACAGUGACCCUUUAAUGCACCAGGCUCUCCCCGGGUCCCCAGAUGUGUCUACCCUGAUACGUGAUGUCCCCUGAGUUCCCCUCUGUUUCUAUUUUGAUGUGGAAUGUCUACAGUAACCUGGAAUGUCUCCUUAAUUCCCCAGAGUCUUCAGUAAACACUAAUCGUGAUCUCCAUGCGAGCUGAAGAACCUAAUGAGAUUCUGGUUCAUGAUCUUCAGUGUCCAAAGAAGGGUCACGUGAUGCUAAACAGUCAGCCGCUCUCCGUUCAACAGGGAGAGUGAUCGACGGGAAGGGACUGGUUUUUCUGUUA
This is a long non-coding RNA of Herpailurus yagouaroundi (jaguarundi), 1654 nucleotides long. RefSeq lists it as uncharacterized. The transcript is spliced from 9 exons. NCBI's taxonomy places the organism in Eukaryota, Metazoa, Chordata, Mammalia, Carnivora, Felidae. The record is from RefSeq and is a predicted model, not a curated record.